This 3808-nucleotide unclassified non-coding RNA is filed under the name Orussus abietinus. RNAcentral describes it as "f-box/WD repeat-containing protein 7, transcript variant X3". Lineage: Eukaryota; Metazoa; Arthropoda; Insecta; Hymenoptera; Orussidae. The record is from RNAcentral.
GCGAACGCAUGUGCACGAGCUCUUAAAUAAAUCGCGGAGUUCGUCGAGAAGGAGCUCGGGCUCGGCCGACGAGACUGGAUGGAAGCCUCGCAGUGUUUAUACUCUCGACUCUUGUUUUUGUUUGCCCGCCCAAGGUGGCCCGAUCCGCUCGCGAAAUUCCCACGGUCGGAUUCUAACCUAGUUUAGGGGGCCCUCGGAGAGAUGCGAGCCGCGCGCACUUUAUAGGGAGUCGUCCACUGGUCCGACGAGCAGGAGUCGCGAGCCAGCAAGGAGAUUCGAGCCGCUAGAGAGAGGAGACGCAGGGAGUUCCUUGGCCGAAGUGAAAUUGUACCAGCUGUACGAGCCAGUAAUGUCCGUCCCUUCAUCGUCCUCUAAAGGGAUAAGUGGAGAGCAGCCCGGAGGAACGAGUCCUAGUCCUGUAGAAGGCGUAGAAGGAGUAGAAUGCGUGCCCGGUCCCAGUUCUUCCAACCCCGUCCAAUGCAUGCUGCCACAGGACGAGGAGUCGGAAGAGUACGGAGAAGAGGCAGAUGAGGAUGAGAGCAGCGAGGCUGAAAGCGAAAUCAGUGAUAAUGGUAUGUUUGGUGACGUCGAGUGCGAAGGAGAAAUUGAAAGCAAUGAGUGCAGGCCUCCUGCCGUACAAUCGCACCCACCACUGCCGCAGCGAGUUCAAAGUCCUAUUUUGCACACCUGUGUUCCUCUCGAUGUAGUCCAGCCUCAAAGAAAGCGCAAGAGUGAAACCGAGUCCAGUUUACCUUGUAAAAAGCUUAUUCCAGAAAAUAAGAGCAUACCCGUAAUGACUGUAAAAAAGGCAGAUGAUAAGGGAAAGCACGUUAGAUGCAUCAUACCGACUAGAGAUAACCCUCCGCCUGAGAUGAGUACCUGGCUCUUGCAAUUUCAGAAGUGGUCGAAUGCAGAGAGGAUGCUAGCAAUCGAUGAACUGAUCGAGAGAUGCGAGCCGACGCAGGUGCGCCACAUGAUGCAAGUGAUCGAGCCUCAGUUUCAAAGGGACUUCAUUUCUUUGCUCCCUAAAGAACUAGCCUUGUCAGUGUUAGCAUUUUUAGAACCUAGAGACUUACUGCGAGCAGCACAAACGUGUCGGAAUUGGCGUUUUCUCGCCGACGAUAACUUGCUGUGGAAGGAGAAGUGCAGAGCUGCGGGUAUAGAGGAUCUGAAGGACCUGCCGCCAUUAAAGAGGAAAAACUGCAGGAACUCUGGAAGUUGCUCGUCUCCGUGGAAGCAGGCCUACAUGCGACAGCAUAACAUCAAGAUGAACUGGAGGACGAAGCCUAUCCGGCCCCCGAAGGUCCUCAAGGGUCACGAUGACCACGUGAUCACUUGCCUUCAGUUCUCCGGGAACCGAAUAGUCAGUGGGUCUGACGAUAACACACUCAAAGUGUGGUCUGCAGUGACAGGGAAGUGCUUGCGGACGUUGGUGGGACACACCGGGGGAGUGUGGUCUUCGCAGAUGUCGGGCACUACGGUGAUCAGUGGGAGUACGGACCGAACUCUAAAAGUGUGGAACGCGGAGACCGGACAGUGUAUCCAUACAUUAUACGGUCACACCUCAACGGUGAGGUGUAUGCAUUUGCACGGGGAUAAAGUCGUCAGUGGCAGCAGGGACGCUACACUGAGGGUGUGGCAAGUCGAUACCGGGGAAUGUUUGCACGUGCUCGUGGGACAUAUGGCUGCUGUCAGGUGCGUGCAAUAUGACGGAAAGUUAGUGGUUAGCGGGGCUUACGACUUCAUGGUCAAGGUGUGGAAUCCUGAGAGGGAGGAGUGUCUUCACACGCUGCAGGGACACACCAAUCGGGUCUAUUCUCUUCAAUUCGACGGUGUUCACGUUGUCAGUGGGUCGCUGGACACGAGUAUAAGGGUCUGGGAGGUGGAGACCGGGGUGUGUCGGCACACGCUGAUGGGUCACCAGUCCCUGACCUCGGGGAUGGAGUUGCGCAACAACAUCCUGGUGUCGGGGAACGCGGACUCUACGGUUAAGGUCUGGGACAUCGUCAGUGGUCACUGCCUGCAGACUCUUUCUGGCCCUAACAAGCACCAGUCUGCUGUUACUUGCCUUCAGUUCAAUAGCCACUUUGUCAUCACCUCGUCGGAUGAUGGCACCGUCAAGCUCUGGGACGUUAAAACCGGCGAAUUUAUUAGGAAUCUCGUGGCAUUGGAGAGCGGUGGAAGUGGCGGCGUCGUUUGGCGUAUCAGGGCCAGCGAUACGAAGCUCGUCUGUGCCGUAGGCAGUCGCAACGGCACGGAGGAGACGAAACUCCUGGUCCUUGAUUUCGACGUCGAGGUGAAAUAGUCCAUCCUUUGGGUCGGAUCGCUCCUCCGUGUCGCUUCUGUACAUACUACGAUUAGGGUCUUAGUCCGAAAUCGUAAGGUGCAAGGAGCGCGGAAUGGAAAUCUUGUAUAUGGUGACAUGACUCCGAUUCGGCAGAACAGGCGACGUAGACUCAGACUCUGACCAUUUUGGGAUUUUUCGUGAAUGGUCGUUAAAUAGUCAGAUUCGAGGUGCCCCUUUGCAGACGUAGACAUUUCCUUUUUUAAUGAUUUUCCAUUUGCAGUAUACAUGGUCUGUGUGCUCGACGCGGAUUGACGACAAGCGAGUUAACAGCGAUCGGGGGAAACACGAGACGUAGGGAAUAUUUUAAGAGCUCGCAGGAAAGUGCACGAAGGGCGUUUACGCAUUUACCGAAAUUUUGUGCCUACUCUCCGUAAUCGAGAAAGAAAGAAAGAAAAAAAAAAAUAGAAAUCGCCCCCUGCAAACGGGGAUACUGUGUAUGUCAGCGAAAGAGGCAAUUUCAAUUACGACACUUAGGGUCUAAUUUAAAGGUUCCGUUUAAGUCGAGGAUCGACCAGACGUGUGGAGGAUACUUAAUGGUGAACGUUUCAAUGGGACUCGAGCAGAUAUGGUAUCUUCUCUUCGAAGGCAGAAUUUGGUAAAAUGAAUUCAAGUGAUUAGGGAGGAACAAUAGAAAUAUCGAGAUCAUGGAAGGACGCGAUACUGAGCCUUAUCGUCUCCUUUUCUGCUCUCUUGUAUGCUUUCCGAGGAACUUUGCGGACUGUUUCCGACACUGGUGAAAAAAUGUCUGCAGUUUCAGGUCUCGUUUAGUCCCUAUGAGAUUUCGAUCCGUUGAAUUUAUUUCUGGGAUUCCUUGCUCUUCCUUUGAUAUUUGUAUUUUGUGGGGAGAAUUUAGUUACCUUUGGACUAAUCAGUUGACUGGAAAAUUAGAGGAAUCUAGCUCUUUUCUGGGUUUUGACAAAAUGAUGGCUUCGAUGAACCAGUUGGAGGGAUUUUUUCACCAGGACAUCGUUGGUGGGCCAAGUAAGGUGGCUAUGUGGUACAAACUGUAAAGAGUGCAUUUUUAAGUAGGUGGAUGAUGCUAAUGAAUCACUGCGCAUAGAUUUAACACCGAACUGUCAUACUAUAAUUGGGCCACUGUAGCUAUGGAAGGAAAUUAUGGCGAUGUGUCGGAGAAUUAAUUAUCAUUGCUUUGACGUCGGAGAUGCUUGGGUGAUCCUUGGCAGCACGCCGAGAGAAACCGAGUCGAUGACCGUAGAGAUCCGUCAAAGGAAGUCCGUGAUGAGAAGUCGAUAUCUACAAGAAGUCUGGACUCUGCCACGGUACAAUAAUACAAGACGCAUCAUGUUCUUUGUGCAAUACUUACACAAGCCACUGUAGAUAGAUUAAAAAGAGCGCAUGGUCUGUUAAGUGGGUUUAGUAGUAAUCUGUUAAUGCUAUUUAUAUCACUAGUAUAACUUAUUAAUACGGCGAAUCCUCUGUUGACUCUCCGUUAGACCUGGA